GAAAGUGGAGUAUAUAUACGUUUCAGUUACAUUGAAAAAACCUCAUUUGAGCGCUUUCU
RNAcentral lists this transfer RNA (59 nucleotides) under Ringicula cf. pilula YK-2016. Its description in RNAcentral is "tRNA-Val". The record is from RNAcentral. Lineage: Eukaryota; Metazoa; Mollusca; Gastropoda; Ringiculidae.